AGGGCCGGCUCCAGGCACCAGGCAACCAAGCACAUGCUUGGGGCAGCACCUGGUUUCAUAACAUUGGAAGUUCAGCUAAGCAGCCAGAGUCCAUGGAGGCCACCAUCUCUCCUCAAAAAAACUUCUACAUCUUCACCAGAAAUUAAAAGGAGGCCCUGUGACCUGCAAAUCAGGCAUCCUCUCUCCCAGUUCUUCAGAGAAUCAUAGCAGGUGUGUCAUGGUCAUUGCUUUAGGUGAUGUAAAACGAAGAGUUACAACCAGUUUUCUCAUUAGGUAAGUGUAGAUGAGUUACACUCUAGGAUACACAUUGUUGACAGAUGUGAUAUCAUAGCUGAUGAACUUCAGUGCUGCUAGCAGAAUAAAGAGACGACAUCUGUCACAUUUACAUCUGGAAAUGUUGUAUGUACUAUUGUUAUUCUCAGGCCUGCAUAAAAGACCCUCUAACAAACAGGCAAGCAGAAAAUCUUUAAAAUUGUUAAAGAAAUUUUUUCAAUGAAACGAAUUCAGGACAUAUUCUUUAAAAUUUGCUGUUUAAGGCCUGAUUCGGCAAACACUUAUACACAGGCAUAAUUUUUCUCGUAUGAGUAGUCUAUUGAUUUCAUGGGAAUAAAUGUUUGCAGCGGUGUAUCACAGGUGAAUGGGACCUUAUGCAUGAAAAUGUCUGCUUUAAAGCACUUUAGAUGAGAUAUAGUGGCCAAGUGCAGAGAAGAUAAAAGGAUUAAACAUUUCUAUGGAAAUUGAACAGUUACAGUAGAUUGAACAGAAAUUAUGUGGGUUGCAAACCCUCUUGUUUCAUACCAAACCCUGAUGGGGGUUAGGGCAUGAGCAGUGAUAGAGACUGGUCUCUGGGCAGGCUAUGCCAUAACUGUCUGAUGCAGGAUUUCUGGCACAUUCCUCUGAAGCAUCAGAUGCUAGCCAUUGUCAGAGACAGGAUACUGGACUAGAAAGGCCACUGCUCUGAUCUGGUACGGCAAUGCCAGUGCUUCCCUAAUAGUGCCUUUAGUUGGAAGGGAAGAUGAGUUACAUUCUCCCU
Chrysemys picta bellii (western painted turtle) is the source of this 1033-nucleotide non-coding RNA. The record is from RefSeq and is a predicted model, not a curated record. Lineage: Eukaryota; Metazoa; Chordata; Testudines; Emydidae.